UGGGGAAUAUUGCACAAUGGGCGCAAGCCUGAUGCAGCAACGCCGCGUGAACGAUGAAGGUCUUCGGAUCGUAAAGUUCUGUUGCAGGGGAAGAUAAUGACGGUACCCUGUGAGGAAGCCCCGGCUAACUACGUGCCAGCAGCCGCGGUAAUACGUAGGGGGCUAGCGUUAUCCGGAUUUACUGGGCGUAAAGGGUGCGUAGGUGGUCCUUCAAGUCGGUGGUUAAAGGCUACGGCUCAACCGUAGUAAGCCGCCGAAACUGGAGGACUUGAGUGCAGGAGAGGAAAGUGGAAUUCCCAGUGUAGCGGUGAAAUGCGUAGAUAUUGGGAGGAACACCAGUAGCGAAGGCGGCUUUCUGGACUGCAACUGACACUGAGGCACGAAAGCGUGGGGAGCAAACAGG
Molecule: ribosomal RNA, 403 nt
Filed under: Verrucomicrobiota bacterium
Lineage: Bacteria; Pseudomonadati; Verrucomicrobiota
Description: Verrucomicrobia bacterium partial 16S ribosomal RNA
Rfam family: Bacterial small subunit ribosomal RNA
Source: RNAcentral